RNAcentral lists this unclassified non-coding RNA (262 nucleotides) under plant metagenome. RNAcentral's name for it is "partial contains small subunit ribosomal RNA, internal transcribed spacer 1, and 5.8S ribosomal RNA". The record is from RNAcentral.
UCUCCGUUGGUGAACCAGCGGAGGGAUCAUUACCGAGUUUACAACUCCCAAACCCAGUGUGAACGUUACCAAACUGUUGCCUCGGCGGGAUCUCUGCCCCGGGUGCGUCGCAGCCCCGGACCAAGGCGCCCGCCGGAGGACCAACCAAAACUCUUUAUGUAUACCCCCUCGCGGGUUUUUUUACAAUCUGAGCCAUCUCGGCGCCCCUCGUGGGCGUUUCGAAAAUGAAUCAAGACUUUCAACAACGGAUCUCUUGGUUCUG